CAGUCGCCGCGGUAAUACGUAGGUGGCAAGCGUUGUCCGGAAUUAUUGGGCGUAAAGGGCUCGCAGGCGGUUUCUUAAGUCUGAUGUGAAAGCCCCCGGCUCAACCGGGGAGGGUCAUUGGAAACUGGGAACCUUGAGUGCAGAAGGGGAGAGUGGAAUUCCACGUGUAGCGGUGAAAUGCGUAGAGAUGUGGAGGAACACCAGUGGCGAAGGCGACUCUCUGGUCUGUAACUGACGCUGAGGAGCGAAAGCGUGGGGAGCGAACAGGAUUAGAUACCCCGGUAGUCCCUGUCUCUUAUAC
Molecule: ribosomal RNA, 301 nt
Filed under: uncultured bacterium
Lineage: Bacteria
Description: partial 16S ribosomal RNA
Rfam family: Bacterial small subunit ribosomal RNA
Source: RNAcentral